GGCCCUUUGGUCAAGCGGCUAAGACAUCGCCCUCUCACGGCGAAAACGGGGGUUCGAUUCCCCCAGGGGUCA
Molecule: transfer RNA, 72 nt
Filed under: Candidatus Apopatosoma intestinale
Lineage: Bacteria; Bacillati; Bacillota; Clostridia; Eubacteriales
Description: Ruminococcus sp. CAG:724 tRNA
Rfam family: tRNA
About the family: Transfer RNA (tRNA) molecules are approximately 80 nucleotides in length.
Source: Rfam by way of RNAcentral